This 343-nucleotide unclassified non-coding RNA is filed under the name Hevea brasiliensis (rubber tree). Lineage: Eukaryota; Viridiplantae; Streptophyta; Magnoliopsida; Malpighiales; Euphorbiaceae. The record is from RNAcentral.
GUACGUCCAGAUGCAAUCGGAGCCGGAGGCUUCUACCUUGUCGUCCUUGUACUCCUUUCAUCAAGAUACUGCAACUCGAAUUUUCGAUGAGUUGCCUCAGGCAACGAUUAUACAGGUGUCUCGAUCCGAUGCUGGUGACAUCAGCCCCAUGCUUCUAACUUAUACCAUUGAAGUCCAAUAUAAGCAGUUCAAGUGGCAAUUGGUGAAGAAAGCUUCGCAUGUAAUUUAUUUACAUUUCGCAUUAAAGAAGCGUGCAUUCAUUGAGGAGAUUCAUGAGAAGCAAGAGCAGGUCAAAGAAUGGCUUCAAAACUUGGGGAUAGGAGAUCAUACAACUGUAAUGCAA